UACGAAGGGGGCUAGCGUUGUUCGGAAUCACUGGGCGUAAAGGGCUCGUAGGCGGCCAACUAAGUCAGACGUGAAAUCCCUCGGCUUAACCGGGGAACUGCGUCUGAUACUGGAUGGCUUGAGUUUGGGAGAGGGAUGCGGAAUUCCAGGUGUAGCGGUGAAAUGCGUAGAUAUCUGGAGGAACACCGGUGGCGAAGGCGGCAUCCUGGACCAACACUGACGCUGAGGAGCGAAAGCCAGGGGAGCAAACGGG
This 253-nucleotide ribosomal RNA is filed under the name uncultured bacterium. RNAcentral's name for it is "partial 16S ribosomal RNA". It matches the Rfam family "Bacterial small subunit ribosomal RNA", at positions 524 to 776 of the family's 1533-position model. The record is from RNAcentral.